RNAcentral lists this ribosomal RNA (253 nucleotides) under uncultured bacterium. RNAcentral describes it as "partial 16S ribosomal RNA". It matches the Rfam family "Bacterial small subunit ribosomal RNA", at positions 524 to 776 of the family's 1533-position model. The record is from RNAcentral.
UACGUAGGGGGCAAGCGUUGUCCGGAAUCACUGGGCGUAAAGGGCGCGUAGGCGGCUCUGCACGUUCGUUGUGAAAUCGCCCGGCUCAACUGGGCGGGGUCAGCGGAUACGGCAGAGCUUGAGCAAGCUAGGGGGCAAUGGAAUUCCCGGUGUAGUGGUGGAAUGCGUAGAUAUCGGGAGGAACACCAGUGGCGAAGGCGGUUGCCUGGGGCUUUGCUGACGCUGAUGCGCGAAAGCGUGGGGAGCGAUCCGG